Molecule: ribosomal RNA, 494 nt
Filed under: uncultured bacterium
Lineage: Bacteria
Description: partial 16S ribosomal RNA
Rfam family: Bacterial small subunit ribosomal RNA
Source: RNAcentral
GACGAACGCUGGCGGCGUGCUUAACACAUGCAAGUCGAACGGAAAGGCCUGUCCUUCCUUGUGUUGGACGGGUACUCGAGUGGCGAACGGGUGAGUAACACGUGAGUGAUCUGCCCCCAACUUGGGUAUAAGCCUGGGAAACUGGGUCUAAUUCCCGAUAGGACUGCAGGGUGGUGCCUGUGGUGGAAAACGAUUUUCUAGUGGUUGGGGAUGAGCUCGCGGCCUAUCAGCUUGUUGGUGGGGUAAUGGCCUACCAAGGCGGCGACGGGUAGCCGGCCUGAGAGGGUGGACGGCCACAUUGGAACUGAGAUACGGCCCCGACUCCUACGGGAGGCAGCAGUGGGGAAUAUUGCACGAUGGGCGGAAGCCUGAUGCAGCGACGCCGCGUGGGGGAUGACGGCCUUCGGGUUGUAACCUCCUUUCGACCGCGAGGAAGCCGCCUGGUUGGAAGGGUGGUGACGGUAGUGGUAGAAGAAGCACCGGCUAACUACGUG